Molecule: ribosomal RNA, 189 nt
Filed under: uncultured marine bacterium
Lineage: Bacteria
Description: partial 16S ribosomal RNA
Rfam family: Bacterial small subunit ribosomal RNA
Source: RNAcentral
CCUACGGGAGGCAGCAGUAAGGAAUAUUGGACAAUGGAGGCAACUCUGAUCCAGCCAUGCCGCGUGAAGGAAGAAGGCCCUAUGGGUUGUAAACUGCUUUUAUAUAGGAAGAAACCUUUUCACGUGUGAGAAGCUGACGGUACUAUAAGAAUAAGGACCGGCUAACUCCGUGCCAGCAGCCGCGGUAAU